UAUCUUUCCUCUUCUGCUUUGUUUGGUUUCCAAGAAAGUGAUCUAGGUUUAAUAUGCACUGUGUUUUCUUUCUUUUUCUCAGUGUUUGUUUAGUUUUAAUGAAACAGGAAUGAAGUACAGUGUGUUCUUGAUUUCUGAUUGGUUUCCAAGAAAGUGAAGGAAAAUGAUAUGUCUUGUUAUCAUUUUUUUUUCUGCAUGCUAGAACGAUUAAUAAAAAUGAUAUAUAGAAGGGUUUCACAACUAAGCUCCUUGUUAUUUUGGUUGUUGUCUUCUGAAAAUGAUCUAAAAUUGUCUCCAAAAUAGCUGAGGUGGAAGGCAUGGUUGUGAUUGCUUUCAGAAAGAUUCGAAGUCUGGGUGUUGGAAAUUUAAGGCUUUCCUAUAAAGUAAUGCUUCAAGAUGGAGGCAAGAGACUUGGUUGUAGAUAUAUAAAUGAGCAACUUAAUUUAAGUUUAUGUAUAUUGUCUUAUAGUGUGUUUUUAAUUUCGUUGUAUAUUAUAUGAGUUUCUUCUAUAUAGAGAAAUUGGGGACAACUUUAAACAA
Molecule: long non-coding RNA, 540 nt
Organism: Vitis riparia (riverbank grape)
Lineage: Eukaryota; Viridiplantae; Streptophyta; Magnoliopsida; Vitales; Vitaceae
Exons: 2
Source: RefSeq, a predicted model, not a curated record